UGCAACAAUUUCAAGUCAAACGUGUGAGC
Molecule: non-coding RNA, 29 nt
Filed under: Bombyx mori (domestic silkworm)
Lineage: Eukaryota; Metazoa; Arthropoda; Insecta; Lepidoptera; Bombycidae
Source: RNAcentral